GAUGAACGCUGGCGGCGUGCCUAAUACAUGCAAGUCGAGCGAACAGACGAGGAGCUUGCUCCUCUGACGUUAGCGGCGGACGGGUGAGUAACACGUGGAUAACCUACCUAUAAGACUGGGAUAACUUCGGGAAACCGGAGCUAAUACCGGAUAAUAUAUUUAACCGCAUGGUUCAAUAGUGAAAGACGGUUUUGCUGUCACUUAUAGAUGGAUCCGCGCCGCAUUAGCUAGUUGGUAAGGUAACGGCAUACCAAGGCAACGAUGAGUAGCCGACCUGAGAGGGUGAUGGGCCAAACUGGAACUGAGACACGGUCAAGACUCCUACGGGAGGCAGCAGUAGGGAAUCUUCCGCAAUGGGCGAAAGCCUGACGGAGCAACGCCGCGUGAGUGAUGAAGGUCUUCGGAUCGUAAAACUCUGUUAUUAGGGAAGAACUAAUGUGUAAGUAACUAUGCACGUCUUGACGGUACCUAAUCAGAAAGCCACGGCUAACUACGUG
Molecule: ribosomal RNA, 497 nt
Filed under: uncultured bacterium
Lineage: Bacteria
Description: partial 16S ribosomal RNA
Rfam family: Bacterial small subunit ribosomal RNA
Source: RNAcentral